This is a long non-coding RNA of Haliotis rubra (blacklip abalone), 633 nucleotides long. RefSeq lists it as uncharacterized. The record is from RefSeq and is a predicted model, not a curated record. Lineage: Eukaryota; Metazoa; Mollusca; Gastropoda; Lepetellida; Haliotidae. The transcript has 2 exons.
CCAUAAAUAUCAAGAUAUAUUAAACAGGAAUCCAAUGGCUAAUACAGGUAGAUGGAUGAGCAUCGACAACACGUGGUGAUUGUCAGCUGAAUUCAUGUCACUAAAGGGUGAUGCCUCCUGCUCAUAUUCACUGAUUCACAGCCUGGUAACAAGAAAGACUGGAUCCAAAGGAUCGCCCAUCUGGAUACGCGGGCGCGUGCUGGUCUAACACAUGGCGAUCGCCUGCUCGCGCUUGACCACGCCUGUCCUUAAACCUGACACAUGGCAAGCGUACAUUCAAACUCACCUCAAGAUGGACAAUCUGCUUGUACAGUCUGGGACGUUGACCGCGCUUACUUUACUUCCUGGUAUGCAGCAGCGACAGCGCUUCUCAGUCGAUACCCGACUGAGUAGCUAUAUAUAGCAGCGCAUAACAAGUGGAAACGUGAAAAAACCGGAAUGUUAGUUAUUUUCAUGCUUAUUAAUUUGAACUUGUCCGAAGUAACGUGAGAGAUUACAAACACAUUCUCACAAUUCAAUCGAGAAUAUUUGUUCAGUCCGCUUGUCAUUCAUUCUACAUGAUGAUAUGCAUAAGGUGUCAGAAUUUGUAACAAUCAUUCGUCGAUAAAUGAAAUACAAUCCUUGAGUAUGUUU